CGCCGACGUCUGGCUGCCACGACUUGCCGUCUGCGGCGGCGGCGAGCGGAUCCCGCAGGGGAAGGAGGAGGAGGAGGGAGAGCCAAGGGGGCUGUGAGUGAGCGGGAGAAGCAGGGUGUGAGCCGGACUUGCCCGCGGGAGGGAGAACGAGCGAGAGCCGGGCCAGCCAUCCGAGCCGCCUCCUCCUCCUCCCCUCGGCGUCCCGCCCCCGCCUGCCAGCCCGCCCUCCUUCCUCUUCAGCCGGCUGAGCCCGAGUGAGGCGCCGCUCAGCUCGCGCUGCUGUCCAGGACAGGUGUGCGCGCGCGCGCCCUCCCCCCCCUCCUCCCCCCCCCCUUUCCUCGCGCCAGCCUAGCGCCUGCCUCGCGCGCGCCCUCCCUCCCUCCAGCCCGCGCCCUCCCUCACCUGCGGCAGGACAGCGCCCGCCCGCCAGGGAGCUAGUCUGUGGAGAAGGAAGUUUGGUUUUGAUUUACAAGUCUCCAGAGAAAGGGAAAUUCCUUUACCUCCGCUUUUGUUGGAGCAGCCAGUUGUCACUUCCUGGAGCUGUUGCUGGUCUCUCAGAUGGCCCACAGAGCUCCCUCCAGCCAGAGAACACCAGAGUACGGGACACUGAAGGACCUCCCUGUUCCAGAGGGUGCAGCAGGGAUAACGUCAAACCCAUGGAUGGAAGGAGGCUCACUGCUGUUGUAAAGAAACUUGGUGAAAUUCCAGCAACUUCUACCACUGGCCCCACUGCUGAGUCCUGGGAUUUGAGGUCAAAUUCUAGAAAAGCGCCACAUAGGAUGUACUCCCUGGCCACG
RNAcentral lists this long non-coding RNA (797 nucleotides) under Lynx canadensis (Canada lynx). RNAcentral describes it as "lncRNA (ENSLCNG00005006030.1)". The record is from RNAcentral. Lineage: Eukaryota; Metazoa; Chordata; Mammalia; Carnivora; Felidae.